AGUGAACGCUGGCGGUAGGCCUAACACAUGCAAGUCGAACGGCAGCACAGUAAGAGCUUGCUCUUACGGGUGGCGAGUGGCGGUCGGGUGAGGAAUACAUCGGAAUCUACUUUUUCGUGGGGGAUAACGUAGGGAAACUUACGCUAAUACCGCAUACGACCUACGGGUGAAAGCAGGGGAUCUUCGGACCUUGCGCGAUUGAAUGAGCCGAUGUCGGAUUAGCUAGUUGGCGGGGUAAAGGCCCACCAAGGCGACGAUCCGUAGCUGGUCUGAGAGGAUGAUCAGCCACACUGGAACUGAGACACGGUCCAGAGUCCUACGGGAGGCAGCAGUGGGGAAUAUUGGACAAUGGGCGCAAGCCUGAUCCAGCCAUACCGCGUGGGUGAAGAAGGCCUUCGGGUUGUAAAGCCCUUUUGUUGGGAAAGAAAAGCAGCAGGUUAAUACCCCGCUGUUCUGACGGUACCCAAAGAAUAAGCACCGGCUAACUUCGUG
Molecule: ribosomal RNA, 492 nt
Filed under: uncultured bacterium
Lineage: Bacteria
Description: partial 16S ribosomal RNA
Rfam family: Bacterial small subunit ribosomal RNA
Source: RNAcentral